GGAUGAGCUGUGCCUAGGGGUGAAAGGCCAAUCAAACUCGGAGAUAGCUGGUUCUCCUCGAAAGCUAUUUAGGUAGCGCCUCGUGUAUCACCACCGGGGGUAGAGCACUGUUUGGGCUAGGGGGUCAUCCCGACUUACCAACCCCAUGCAAACUCCGAAUACCUAGGAGUUCAAUCACGGCAGACAGACAGCGGGUGCUAACGUCCGUUGUCAAGAGGGAAACAACCCAGACCGCCAGCUAAGGUCCCUAAUACACAUUAAGUGGGAAACGAUGUGGGAAGGCUAAGACAGCUAGGAGGUUGGCUUAGAAGCAGCCAUCCUU
This 322-nucleotide ribosomal RNA is filed under the name Euplotes focardii. Its description in RNAcentral is "partial Bacterial large subunit ribosomal RNA". It matches the Rfam family "Bacterial large subunit ribosomal RNA", at positions 802 to 1123 of the family's 2925-position model. Lineage: Eukaryota; Ciliophora; Spirotrichea; Euplotida; Euplotidae. The record is from RNAcentral.